RNAcentral lists this ribosomal RNA (253 nucleotides) under uncultured bacterium. RNAcentral describes it as "partial 16S ribosomal RNA". It matches the Rfam family "Bacterial small subunit ribosomal RNA", at positions 524 to 776 of the family's 1533-position model. The record is from RNAcentral.
UACGUAGGGUGCGAGCGUUAAUCGGAAUUACUGGGCGUAAAGCGUGCGCAGGCGGCUUCGCAAGUCAGGCGUGAAAUCCCCGGGCUUAACCUGGGAAUUGCGCUUGAAACUACGGUGCUGGAGUGCGGCAGAGGAAGGUGGAAUUCCACGUGUAGCGGUGAAAUGCGUAGAGAUGUGGAGGAACACCAAUGGCGAAGGCAGCCUUCUGGGUCGACACUGACGCUCAUGCACGAAAGCGUGGGGAGCAAACAGG